This 301-nucleotide ribosomal RNA is filed under the name uncultured bacterium. Its description in RNAcentral is "partial 16S ribosomal RNA". It matches the Rfam family "Bacterial small subunit ribosomal RNA", at positions 509 to 807 of the family's 1533-position model. The record is from RNAcentral.
CAGCAGCCGCGGUAAUACAGAGGGUGCAAGCGUUAAUCGGAAUUACUGGGCGUAAAGCGCGCGUAGGUGGUUUGUUAAGUUGGAUGUGAAAUCCCCGGGCUCAACCUGGGAACUGCAUCCAAAACUGGCAAGCUAGAGUAUGGUAGAGGGUGGUGGAAUUUCCUGUGUAGCGGUGAAAUGCGUAGAUAUAGGAAGGAACACCAGUGGCGAAGGCGACCACCUGGACUGAUACUGACACUGAGGUGCGAAAGCGUGGGGAGCAAACAGGAUUAGAUACCCCCGUAGUCCCUGUCUCUUAUAC